UCAAAAUGUGGGGAAAGGGGGGAGAUAGUGCUCAGUUGGAAAAACCAACUGAGCUCCCCUUGUGGCACCUUGCUUUUGUCUUCAAGGUUCCAAGUUCAACUCUUGGUGGAAGAAGUUUUGUGAGCCUUUUCCUUGAAUUUUCUUGAGUGAGAGCCCGAUAAAAUAAAACUAAAUGAAACUGUUGUAUGUUAAAUACAAUCACCAAGCCAAGAAUCCUGUCAUGAAUAAUGAUUUCUUGGUGAUGUAUUAACAAAAACAGUUAAGUGGCAAACUAAAUAAAAGCAUUAAAAGCAAAAAAUUAACUAAAGUAAACAGAAUAACAAAAUACCAAACCAAAAUAAAAUUAUCACUGCAAAGACAUUAUGGUUAUGCAGACAAGUGGUGUUGUUGAAUGAUUUGCAUAGAAAAAUAGGUGGCACACCAAACUUAGAAUCUUGGUGUGUCACUUUCAUUUUUUGAUUUGUUGCAAUCAUCCAAAAAGAUUGAAAACAAUGUGUUGCAUGGCAACACCAAACUUAGAAUGUAACCAUAUGCCAAUUUAUUGAAUUUAAACAAAGCAAAGAAAGAAAACAAAGCAGAGAAGAGAAAUUAUACCUAUGGUUGGGUUACCUCCCAACAAGUGCUCUUUUAGUGUCAUUAGCUUGACAUGUUGUUCUUCACUCUCUUCCUCUUCUUCCAGUUUGUUAGGAGGUAUGACCUCAAAGGAGGAAAAGAUUCAGCUAGUGUCCCUUGUCUUGGCCUUUCCUCAGCAAGCUUUCUUUUGCAAAUGGCUUGAUUGAUCUUGCUUGCUGGAUUAGGGACAGAAUUGGUGUUCUUGCUAGUUGCCUUCACUUCUUUGGAUUCAAGACUUGGUUGCUGUGUGAUUAUUGGAGUUUUGUAUCCAUCCAGAGCCUUUUGAACUGGUGGUUCCAUGAACUCCUCCUUCAUGUACUUCUCUGCCUCACUUGAGUUUGGAAUGACUUCCUCACUUUCUUGCUCCUCCACUUCCUCUUUUACACUCAACAUUUGUUUUAAUAGCUCUUUCAUGGAGGAGGUUUGUUGAUCUUCCCAACAUUUCUUCAUCUCCUCUUCAUAUCUUUUAAUCUCAGAUUCAAUUGUUGAGACUUUUUGGUCCAGGGGGGUUUGAGGAGGUUGUGAGUGUUCAGGUUCUUUUGUCACCUCAAGUGCAGUUUCGUUUUCAACUAUUUUCACCACCUCUUUCUUUUUUACUAAAAAUUUACUUGACUCAGUAGCCUCUUCCUCUUGUUUUUCCUUCUUCUUCAUUGCACUCACCAGUUGGCCUAAUUGCGCUUCCAUGUUUUUGAGGGAGUUCUCUUGUUCUUUCUGGUAUUUCUCUUUCUCCUCCGCAAUUCUUUUGAGCAUGGACUCAAGAUUUGAGAGUCUUUGGUUCAUGGAAGUUUGUGUGGAGACAAAGUCCAGUGAUGAAGAAUUUUCAGAUGAAAAACUAGAAGGUGAGGUUGGAAAAUUUUGUAUAAGUGAAUUGAUAGUACGUUCGAGUGAAGAUGGCUCUUGAUAAGUGGAAUAUGGGCUCUCAAAUGUUUUCUGGUUUUGCUCCCCCCAACCAUCAUUAGAAUAGCAACUUGCAUCAUUUUGUGGUGGAGGAAGAUAUCCCAUAUGAUUUUCUUGCUCAUCUUGUGUCUCUGAAGCAAAUCUCCAUGAAUUGGAGUGCUCAGAAUGUGUAUUCUCGUGGUGAUAUUCCCAGCCAUCAUUAGAGAUUGGUGAUGGUGGGUAAUAUCCCAUAAAAUUUGUUUGAUCAUAAGAUGAGUUGUACUCCAUUUGAAUUUUGGAAAACACAACACCAAGGAAAAUUGAAAUUCAUAUCUCAGAGAUGAAUUUCUUAGUGAGGCAAUAACUCAAACACCUUGGUUUCAAUCUAAAACAGAAAACAAAAAUAUAAAAAAUGCUUGAUCUAGACUUCUCACCCACUUAAUCAUUGUUGAUCUAAAUCAAUCCCCGGCAACGGCGCCAAAAACUUGAUGGUAUUUUUGUGGAAAACUGAAUUUUCCAAAACAGCUCCCCUUUGAAAAUGGGAAUGAUGCCUUUAUAUAGGCUUUUACAAAAAUAAAAUGAAAUUGAAAUGAAAAACAAAUUAAAUGAAAAUCCUAAUUCUAGCUUGUUCUUGUGCCUUUGAGUGAUGAUGUGGGCUUUGCUUGCUUUGGAUCUGAGGAGAAAUGGGUUUGGUUGGCCUUGGUUGUGUGCCAAAAUUGUGCGCACAAGGCUUGCUUGGUGCCUUUGGUCCGUGUCAAAAUGUGGGGAAAGGGGGGAGAUAGUGCUCAGUUGGAAAAACCAACUGAGCUCCCCUUGUGGCACCUUGCUUUUGUCUUCAAGGUUCCAAGUUCAACUCUUGGUGGAAGAAGUUUUGUGAGCCUUUUCCUUGAAUUUUCUUGAGUGGGAGCCCGAUAAAGCUAAGUUAGAAAAGUGAACUGAGCACUAUUUUGCUCUUGCCUUGCUUUCUUUGUGUCUCCCCCUUCGAGCCUUGGUGAAGCCACUUUGGUUUAUUUUUGCUUGUUUUUAGUUCUUAAAGAUGCCUUUCACUCGUGCCUCAAUUUCAUGCCAAAUAUGGACUAUGAUACAUCGUUGGAAAGCU
Molecule: long non-coding RNA, 2587 nt
Filed under: Arachis ipaensis
Lineage: Eukaryota; Viridiplantae; Streptophyta; Magnoliopsida; Fabales; Fabaceae
Description: long non-coding RNA (AIPA_LNC001220)
Source: RNAcentral